GCCCCGUUCGUCUAGCGGCCUAGGAUACUACCCUUUCAAGGUAGAGACACGGGUUCGAGUCCCGUACGGGGUA
This 73-nucleotide transfer RNA is filed under the name Anaerolineales bacterium. RNAcentral describes it as "tRNA-Glu". It matches the Rfam family "tRNA". Rfam says of the family: Transfer RNA (tRNA) molecules are approximately 80 nucleotides in length. Lineage: Bacteria; Bacillati; Chloroflexota; Anaerolineae; Anaerolineales. The record is from RNAcentral. RNAcentral also lists the same sequence under 1 other name.